AGAGUAAUAAUUUAAUUCAAAAUAUUAACUUUGCAUGUUAAAAUUAUAAACCUUAUUUACUUUG
This 64-nucleotide transfer RNA is filed under the name Rhipiphorothrips cruentatus. Its description in RNAcentral is "tRNA-Ala". Lineage: Eukaryota; Metazoa; Arthropoda; Insecta; Thysanoptera; Thripidae. The record is from RNAcentral.